UACGUAGGGCGCAAGCGUUGUCCGGAAUUAUUGGGCGUAAAGAGCUCGUAGGCGGUCUGUUGCGUCCGCUGUGAAAACUCGGGGCUUAACCCCGAGCCUGCAGUGGAUACGGGCAGACUAGAGGUAGGUAGGGGAGAAUGGAAUUCCGGGUGUAGCGGUGGAAUGCGCAGAUAUCAGGAGGAACACCAAUGGCGAAGGCAGCUCGCUGGGACGGUACUGACGCUGAGACGCGAAAGCGUGGGGAGCAAACAGG
This 253-nucleotide ribosomal RNA is filed under the name uncultured bacterium. Its description in RNAcentral is "partial 16S ribosomal RNA". It matches the Rfam family "Bacterial small subunit ribosomal RNA", at positions 524 to 776 of the family's 1533-position model. The record is from RNAcentral.